This 253-nucleotide ribosomal RNA is filed under the name uncultured bacterium. RNAcentral's name for it is "partial 16S ribosomal RNA". It matches the Rfam family "Bacterial small subunit ribosomal RNA", at positions 524 to 776 of the family's 1533-position model. The record is from RNAcentral.
UACGGAGGGGGCGAGCGUUGUUCGGAAUCAUUGGGCGUAAAGGGCGCGUAGGCGGCCCCGUAAGUCAGAUGUGAAAGCCCUUGGCUUAACCAAGGAACUGCAUCUGAAACUGCAGGGCUUGAGUCCGGGAAGGGAGAGUGGAAUUCCCAGUGUAGCGGUGAAAUGCGUAGAUAUUGGGAGGAACACCGGUGGCGAAGGCGGCUCUCUGGACCGGUACUGACGCUGAGGCGCGAAAGCUAGGGGAGCAAACGGG